CUGGCGGCGGCUAACACAUGCAGUCGAGCGGAGCAGGGAGCACUUCUUUCUUGGGUGGCGAGGGGGGGAGGGGAGAGUAAGGCCUGGGAAAUGGCCCGGAAGAGGGGGUUACCCCUGGAAAACGAUGGCUAAAACCGCCCAACCUCUCAAGAGCAAAGCAGGGCACCUUCUGGCCUUGCGCAAGCGGAUAUGCCCAGGUGGGAGUAGCGCGUUGGUGAGGUAAGGCCUCACCAAGGCGACAAUCCCUACCUGGUCUGAGAUGAUGAUCAGCCACACUGGAACUGAGACACGGUCCCGACUCCUACCGGAGGCCGGGAUGGGGAAUAUUGCACAAUGGGCGCAUGCCUGAUACUGCCAUGCCGCGUGUAUGAACAACGCCUUGCGUGGUAUGUAAACGCUACUUUCAGUAGAGAGAACAGGUGCUUAAGUGUCACUAGCCUGAAUCACGUUGACGUUCACCUCACAGAAGUAAGCACAGCGCUAUAUCUCUCGUGCCACAGCAGCCAAGGUAAUGACGUGAAGGUUGACUACGCGUUAAUUAGAUAGUUACUGAACAUAAACGCGCAUGCUAGCGUGGUUAGUUUACGUGCAAGAUGAGAAAGCCCCCGAGCCUCCACCCUAGGAAGUCUCGCAUGUGAAACCUGACAGAGCUAGAGCUACUAGUAGAGAGGCGAGUAGAAUUUUCAGGUGUAGCGGUGAAAUCGGCGUAGAGAUUCUGUAGAGAAGUACACCCGGAUAGGCGGAACGCCAGUCCCCCUUGGAACAUGAUACUGCACUACUCAGAAUGCUGAAAGGCGAUGCAGAACGCCGACCCAGGAUUACAUGACCACCUGGCUAGUCCACGAACGUAAACGCAUGUCUACGUAGAAAGUCGUGAUCUAGUACCCUGUGGCCUUCGGUAGCUAACGCGUUAAGUAGACCGCAUCGGCAUGAGCGAGCACGGUCGCAAGAGUACAAACUGCAAAUAGAAUUGGAGCGAGGGCACAGCACAAGCGGUGCGAGCAUGUCAUCUAAUUCGAAGCAACGUCAGAAGAACCUUCACCUAGCUCUUCACAGCCCGACUAAUCUAUCGGAGAAUGCUCAUGUGCCUUUCGUGAACUCUGAGUACACGGUAGCCGCAUGACUUUUGUCCAGCUCCUGUAUCCUACGUUAAGAUCAGUACUUUGGGUUAAUUCCCCAACGAGCGCCAACCCUUUCCUUUUUUUCCCGCACGUAAUGGUGGGAACUCCAGGGAGACUGCCGGUGACAAACCGGAGGAAGGUGGGGAUGACGUCAAGUCAUCAUGGCCCUUACGAGUAGGGCUACACACGUGCUACAAUGGUCGGUACAAAGGGCAGCCAAACCGCGAGGUGGAGCGAAUCUCACAAAACCGUUCGUAGUCCGGAUUGGAGUCUGCAACUCGACUCCAUGAAGUCGGAAUCGCUAGUAAUCGCAAAUCAGAAUGUUGCGGUGAAUACGUUCCCGGGCCUUGUACACACCGCCCGUCACACCAUGGGAGUGGGCUGCUCCAAGAAGCAGGUAGUUUAACCUUAAGGAGCCACGCCUCCCACGGUGGUUCCAAAGGG
This 1565-nucleotide ribosomal RNA is filed under the name Vibrio mimicus. Its description in RNAcentral is "partial 16S ribosomal RNA". It matches the Rfam family "Bacterial small subunit ribosomal RNA". The record is from RNAcentral. Lineage: Bacteria; Pseudomonadati; Pseudomonadota; Gammaproteobacteria; Vibrionales; Vibrionaceae.